AAGACCCGUGCCUUUAGUUGCCAGCAAGAAGUUACGACUUCGUUGGGAACACUAAAGGGACUGCCGUCGAUAAGACGGAUGAAGGAGCGGGCCACGGCAGGUCAGUAUGCCCCGAAUCCCCCGGGCCACACGCGGGCUGCAAUGGUAUGGACAAUGGGCUGCAACUCCGAGAGGAGAAGCCAAUCCCGAAACCAUAUCUCAGUUGGGAUUGUCGGCUGCAACCCGCCGACAUGAACGUGGAAUCCCUAGUAACCGUGUGUCAUCAUCGCACGGUGAAUAC
Molecule: ribosomal RNA, 280 nt
Filed under: uncultured archaeon
Lineage: Archaea
Description: partial 16S rRNA
Rfam family: Archaeal small subunit ribosomal RNA
Source: RNAcentral